Molecule: long non-coding RNA, 3020 nt
Organism: Oncorhynchus tshawytscha (Chinook salmon)
Lineage: Eukaryota; Metazoa; Chordata; Actinopteri; Salmoniformes; Salmonidae
Source: Ensembl
CGCUUGCGUGUGCAGACCUGUCAACGUUGGAGUGUAUCAUACUACAUAAAGCAGCCGUUUCCCUUCUAGUGAAGCUGAAUCCCAGUAGGGGACUGAUUGUUUCUCCUUAGGGCAGGCCGGCAGCUGUCAGUGUGUUAGGGGGGAGGUGGAGUGGUGCUGCUAUAAGGUCACCAUCCGUAGUCAGUGGGACUGUGAAGUAUAGUCUUAUGACUUUCACACUAUUAAAGUAUGGUGUCAUCAAGAGAAGGAGAACGUAUUAUCUGAGAGCUCCACCAGAGCAGAGAGCAGGAGAGCGAGAGAGAGGGGGAUAGAGAAAGAGAGACAGCGAGAGAGACAGACACAAAGAAAGAGAAAUAGGGGGAGAUAGAGAUAAAUGAAAAGGGCUGAUAGGAAGGUGACAGCAGCAUGGAUCUUUGAACUCCUAAAUCCUUUGAAAAACUCUCUUUAUCAAUCUGAACGUCGUCGCACCGAUACACUACGGAGCAGCCCGUGACCAAUCCCAGCCCUCGCAAUUUGCAUUGGUAAUGAGGAAGUUUUUUCAAGAGCGAAUUGGAACUUCAGUCAGAGAGUCACACCUCUCUGCAGCGUCAUCUUUUCGCGUCUCAGCCCACUGUCCAGUCCUGGACCAUGGGAAUACUCUCUCACAGCAAUCAGUCACUGGUGUGGACCACAGGACCAUGGACCACAGGUCUGCUCUAGUGCCCUCACCUGGCACCAUCCAGCCAUUGCACCUGCUCAUCAUUCUAACCUGAAACCCAGCAGGACAGAGAAAAGAAAAUGAUUAACAAUUAACAAGGUUGAUGGAAGAAGUUUGGUUCGAACAUUAGAGUAAUGGAGGAGGUUCCACACUUUUAUUUUCAUUGGAAAGCUGUGUUUCAGUUCUUCGUCAUCUGCUUGGCAAAAAUAUUAGUACAUUUACUUUCAAUUCUCUGUAAAUUGUCUGCAUCUAGCUAUCUAUUGAUUUGAUAGGAAAAACCUUGGCUUACCUCUUGUCACGCCCUGGCCUUAGUAUGUUGUGUUUUCUUUAUUAUUUUGGUCAGGCCAGGGUGUGACAUGGGUGAUUUGUGUGUCUUGCUUGUCUAGGGGUUUAUUCGAUUUAUGGGGUUGUGUUUAGUAGAGUUGUCUAGGAAAGUCUAUGGUUGCCUAGAGUGGUUCUCAAUCAGAGGCAGGUGUUUAUCGUUGUCUCUGAUUGGGAACCAUAUUUAGGCAGCCAUAUUCUUUGGAUAUUUCGUGGGUGAUUGUUUCCUGUCUUUGUGUUUGUUGCACCAGAUAGGGCUGUUUCGUUUUUUUGCGGUUCUUGUUUUGUAAAUUGUUCGUAUUUUCCAUCUUUCAUUAAAGAUGUAUAAAGAUAACCACGCUGCAUUUUGGUCCUCCUCUCUUUCACCAGAAGAAAACCGUAACAGAAUCACCCACCACAACAGGACCAAGUGGCGUGGUGACAGGCAGCGGCAGCAGGAGCAGUGAAGUCAGGACUAUACGACUUGGGAGGAAAUAGACAGGUGGACGGUCAACCCAGUGAGAGUGCCGGAGCCCGCCUGGGAUUCGCUGGAGCAGUGCGAGGAGGGUUAUAGGAGAAUGGAGUUGGAGAGACGAGCACGGCGGCGUGGAUAGAAGCCCGAGAGUCAGCCCCAAAAAUGUCACACAGGGAGUAUGGCGAAGCCAGGUAGGAGACCUGCGCCAACUUCCUGUGCUUACCGGGGGGCUAGAUAGACCGGGCAGGCACCGUGUUAUGCUGUGGAGUGCACGGUGUCUCCAGUGCGGGUGCAUAGCCAGCUCCUCGUAUCGGCCGGGCUAGAGUGGGCAUCGAGCCAAGUGUCAUGAAGCCGGCUCUAUGCAUCUGGUCUACAGUGCGUCUCCUUGGGCCGGCUUACAUGGCACCAGCCUUGCGCACGGUGUCCCCGGUUCGCCUGCAUAGCCCAGUGCAGGCUAUUCCACCUCGCCGCACUGGCAGGGCGACCGGGAGCAUUCAACCAGGUAAGGUUGGGCAGGCUCGGUGCUCAAGAGCUCCAGUGCGCCUGCACGGUCCGGUCUAUCCGGUACCACCUCUACGCAUCAGCCCUCCGGUGGCAGCUCCCCGCACUCGCCCAGAGGUGCGUGUCCUCUGCCCAGUACCACCAGUGCCGGCACCACGCACCAGACCUACAGUGCGCCUCGCCUGUCCAGCGCCGCCGGAGUCUCCCGCCUGUCCAGCGCCGCCGGAGUCUCCCUCCUCGCCAGCGCCGCCGGAGCCUCCCGCCUGUCCGGCGCCGCCGGAGUCUCCCGCCUGUCAGGCAGGAUCUGCCAGAGCCGCCUGUCAUCCAGGAUCUACCAGAGCCGCCAGUCAGCCAGACUCUGCCAGAGCCAUCAAACUGCCUGAGCUUCCCCUCAGUCCCUAGCUUCCCCUCAGUCCCAAGCUUCCCCUCAGUCCCGAGCUUCCCCUCAGUCCCGAGCUGCCCCUCAGUUCAGUGGGGCCCUUUGUAAGGGUUACUAGGCCAAGGUCGGCGGCGAGGGUCUCCAAUCUAAGGACGCUAAGGAGGUGGACAAAGACUAAGUUGGAGUGGGGUCCACGUCCCGCGCCAGAGCCACCACCGUGGAUAGACACCCACCCAGACCUCCCCUAUGGGUUUAGGUGUGCGGCCGGGAGUCCGCACCUUUGGGGGGGUAGUGUCACGCCCUGGCCUUAGUAUUUUGUGUUUUCUUUAUUAUUUUGGUCAGGCCAGGGUGUGACGGGUGAUUUAUGUGUCUUGUCUUGUCUAGGGUUUUUUAUAUUUAUGGGGUUGUGUUUAGUAGAGUUGUCUAGGAAAGUCUAUGGUUGCCUAGAGUGGUUCUCAAUCAGAGGCAGGUGUUUAUCAUUGUCUCUGAUUGGGAACCAUAUUUAGGCAGCCAUAUUCUUUGGGUAUUCCGUGGGUGAUUGUUUCCUGUCGUUGUGUUUGUUGCACCAUAUAGGGCUGUUUCGGUUUUUCACGGUUCUUGUUUUGUAAAUUGUUUGUAUUUUCCAUCUUUCAUUGAAGAUGUAUAAAGAUAACCAUGCUGCAUUUUGU